UUUCUAUUUCUUCUCCUCUAAUGGUUUCAUAUCUGUACCUUUAAAUUUUUAUUUUAUUAUUUAUUUAUUGUGUGUGUGUGUGUGUGUGUGUGUGUGUGUGUGUGUGUGUGCGCGCGCGCGCGUGCACUUUCAGAAGUGGGUGUCCUGUCUUCAGGAGCUGAAGUUACAGGCAGUUGUGAGAUGAGGAUGCUGGAAACUGAACCUAGGUCUCUGCAAGAGCAUCAAGUGCUCUUAUCUGCAGGACCAUUUUUCAAGCUCCAGUAGAGCUAUACCUAGCUGAACAUUUCAGUGAUUGUCAUGGAAACGGUGAUGUUCAUUCCUAGCGUAUUACGGUCUAUUUUGAAUAUGUAACUUUGAAUUUUCCUGUACAAUAGAAAACUCUUAUAGCAGCAAACCACAUGUAAUGCCUGCUGUCCUUCAAUUAUUAUGUAUGUCAUGAACAUGAAAUCAUAUCAUUUUUGUUCCCUCAAAAAAAAACCUAUUUCUUCCAUCUACACUAUCAGAUCUCCAUCUAAAAUUGUUUGUUGUGUGUCUUUGUUAUGUUAUGUGUUUCUGUUAUGUGUUAAGUGUCUAUGUUAUGUCAUUGUUAUAUGUUUGUUAUGUGUCUUAUGUGUUUUUAUGUGUCAUCUUCCAUUUCAACUCUAAAGUAUUUUAUUUAUAAUUUCUCUUAAUUUGUCAUGAAAAUUAUCUCAGAUUUUUGUCUGAUAUCUUCAUUUGACCUCCAUUUUUAAAUUGUAGUUUCAUUGGGCAAAGAGCUUUGAAUCAGCACAAUUUUUCUUCCUUUUGCAGGGACUUCUGUGUUUCUACAGGACUCACCUGGUGGCUCACAGCCAUCUGUAACUCCAGUUCCAGGGAUCUACUGCCUUCAUCUGAUCUUCAUGGGCACCAAGCAUGUACAGGACACACAUACACAAAUGCAGGCAAAAUGCUUUUACAUAGAAUAAAAUGAACGCAUCUAAUUUAAAAACUUGAAAUUUUCAUUCCUCCAACAUCUGGUCUCUGUACUUCCAGUUGAAAAGUCAAGUGAGUUUUCUCAUUGCUUUUGGUAGUCAACAUCUUCUGGCCUUUAAAAAGAUUUUAUUUUCAGCUUUGUUUUUGUUUUUGUUUUCCCAGUUUGAUUAUGAUAAUCUUAUGAUUUAUUCACAUUCUAUUGACCCUCAAAUCUUCAAAUAAUUUUACCAGUUUUGAAGGAAAAAUCUUAAUGGUGGAAUGGUCAAUCUUGGUUGUUAACUUGUUAGGAUUGACAGUCACCAUGGAAACAACCUCUAGAUGUGUCUGGAAGAGAUUUUUCUAGAUUAGGUUAAUUGGGGGAGGGGCAAGCCUCCCUAGAUGUGGGCAGUUCCAUUUCGUGGAUUGGGAUCCAUGACUGAAUAGGGAUCAGAAACAGAGCUAAGCAGCUGUACUGAGUGUCCUGCGUCCUGACUGGGGACGCAUUGAGACUGUGAUGUGACCAGCUUCUCUGAGCUCCCACCACUGUCUCUUUCCUGCAGUUACAGACUAUAAGCCCCUCCUUCCUUAGGUUGCUUUAGUCACUUAGCAAUGGAACAAGCAACUAGUGCACAUGGCUUCCUUCAGUCCCUCUGGGCCGUUUUCUUUCUUCUCUUCCAUCAAUCCAAUGAUGGAAACUGUCUUAAACUCAUCCUCUACUUUGUUUAUGUUUUUAUGGUUUUUAUUCCUUCUACUCGCUACUUUAGAUGAUCACUGUCUCUGAGUUCAUGGAUUCUGUCCUCUGUUGUUCAACAUCUUAUUAAACGUUAGUUAAGUUGUGAGGCCAGACAUUUUGUUACUCCUAGGAACAUAUAGAUGAAAAUUAUCCAACUUUUUUCUACUUUCCAUCUAUAAUCUAUAAUAGUUUUUUUAAUCUUUUGUAUGCUACCUGCCAUAUAUGGCUUAUCUGUGUAUCUACUUAUAUUCUCUCUGUCUCUCUCUCUGUCUCUCUGUCUCUCUCUCUCUCCUUGGUCAUUGCCUGUAUGUUUUUUCCUCUUACAUGUCCACACAUAAUUUACAGUAUAAAGAACAAUGUGUGUAUAAAAUAAGUCAUGAAGACUGACAAUUAAUGCUAUUUGCCUUCAGAAAAGCUUUACCCUUCCUCUGUUACUCAACAGAAUACGCUGUUGUUCAAGUUCAGAGACUGAACUCAGUCAUGCUCUGUUGUUUUGAGACAGGGUCUCAGGUAUCCUAGACUGGCCUCCAAAUUUCUGUGUCACUAAGUGGCCAAGUGUCUUGAGUUAGGGUUUCUAUUUCUGUGAUUAAACACCAUAACCAAAGCAACUCUUAUAAAGGAAACUGUUUCGUUGAGGGCUGGCUUAGAGCUUCAGAGGUGAGUCCAUUAUCACCAUAGCCAGGAGUGCAGAGGCAGCGAGCAUGGAUCGGGGGCAGUAGUAGAGAGCUUUACACACUGAAAUCUCAAAGCUCACUCCCAGUGACAUACCUCUUACAACAAGCUCAGUACCUCCUAAUCCAUCUUAGCAGGUCACCUACUGAAAACCAAGCCUUCAGAUACAGGAGCCACCACACCAAGGACGGGUUGAUUCUCCCCUCUCUCUCUCAGGGUUUCAGUUUUAAAUGGACACUACCAAUCUCUGGUUUCAAUUGUGCUGUGGAUGGCAUUUAUGAUAUAAUUCCACUGUAGUAACAUGGAAACAUUUGCUUCUAGCCCACAGCAAACACACGCUGUUGGUCUUGUAUGCUACCCCAGUAUUGCUCAGAGCUGCUCAAGCUUCCUAUGUGUUGUAUCGAGAUAGAGCAUACAAAAGGUUCAUAAGGUUUCUCUCAGCCGGCAUAGUCCUAUCUAUAGGCCACAAUAUUAGUUGUUUUUCUGUUGCUGAGAGAAAACACCAUACCCAAGGAGACUUACAGAAGAGUUUAUUUGGGCUUAUGGUUUCAGGGAAUUGCAUCAGAGGUGGCAGGCAUGCAACUGGAGCAGGAAGCUGAGAUUCCCCCAUCCUCAACAAAGCGGAGAGGGCAAGCUGGAAGUGGCUUGUGGAUUUUAAUCCCAAAGCCUGCCCUCAAUGACAUACUUCCUUCAGCAAAGUUGCACGACCAAAACCUCCCCAAAUAGCACCAUCGACUGGGAACAAAAUACUCAAAUGUCCGAGACUAUGGGGAACAUUUCUCAUUCAAACCACCACAGCCACAGCUGAUAUUUAGUUGGUGCCUUAGGUUAAUAUCUGCUUCUACAGAGGAAAGUGUCAAUGACACAUGCCCACCUGGGUGCAUCUGGCUUAUCUGUUAAAUAUUAAAACUUAGCAGUAGCUCUCUCGUAUUUCCUCAGUCUUCAUUUGUAGCUCAAAGCUUUGACUUGCUCUAUUGUUCCUUGUUCUGGCAAAAACAACUGCUUGUGCUUUGUCAGGGGGCCUCACGGGCUUUGGAGAUGGUCCUGCCUCCUUGCCUCUAGACCCGGCCUAUCAGCUUAAUGGUCAGACAGCACUGCUUUGUCUAUAUAGUCUAUAUGUUGCAAAGGCACCUCUCUGUUGUUUUUCUCAUAUAAAAACCUGGUUCUGAGGACUGCCCAGGGUUGCAGUUUUGGAUCCCAAUUCCUGGCUGCAUCCUUGAUUAGUCAGUCUUAGAGUGUGUUCAAUAAGCCAUCCAUACCUGACUGAGAUUGGUGCCUGAGUGGCUUGUGCGGCUAUUCCUGGACCCUAACAUUAUCUAUUGAACUUUAGUUCAUCUCAGUCAUUAACCCUCACAGUGCCUCACACUUUACAGACCUGACUGUGCCAUCUUCAUCUGUCUGUCUCCCUAGCUGCUAUAGGAGGAAAGAUGACACCCUGCUACUUACCCCUCCCGGAGAUAAGAAGUCUACAUUUAAACCAUUUAAAACACCAAAUAAUAAGCAUUAGAAGUAAUUAUUUGACUAAGGAAAACAGAAUUGGAAUUUUAAAAAAUUUAGAAAACAUUGAAUAAAUGUGGACUAAAACUAAAGUGGUAUUUUGUUAGAAAUACCAUAUAUCAAAGAAGAAAACAAACAUCAAAUAAAUGUAAAAUAUUAGAAGUAGAAAAGGAGAAUGUGCAUGAGAUGUGGAAGAAAAUCAGAAAGACAAUCAAUGACAUAAACAAGGGAAAGGUGCUAGAAUCUGAAAUCUUUCUCCUACUGCCCUAUAAAACGCUGAACAAACAGAAACCAGCAGCUCUUCUCAUGUCUGUAAUCAAAUGAUAGCAAGUGUUGCUCUUUAAACUGGAGAAGCUGAUGGGAAACUCUUAAAAUCCAAAACAAAGUGAAAUAAAUAAUAAGAAACCAAAUUCUACAAAAUAGGUCCCAAACCCCUAAGGCAGUUUACCAACAGUAUAUGUAGAUGGUAAAUAAACACACACACACACACACACACACACAUCUCCUCUGUGUUCCCACAGAAGAACAUUCUAAAAUAGUAUUAUUACAGACUGUCAGAAUGUUGGAAGCAAAACUCUGACAUCAUCAAAUGCUGGCUAAGAUGUGUCUAACUGGGAGUCUUAUUUGCUGGUGAAAACACAAAAAACGGUGCAGUUACUUUGGGAGACAGUCAGCAGUUUCCCAUCAGAGCGCCUUCCUGUACAGUCAGCUACUGUAGUCUCUGACAUUUACCUAAGGAUGAAAUGAUGCUCACUCCACACCCUGCAUCCGGGUUUUGACUUUCAGUGGUUUCACUUAUAGCAGCACAAAGUUAGACCCAGCAGAGCUAUUCUUCAUUAGGAGGAUGAGGAAAUGAGCUGGUACAUCUAGCCGACGGCAUAUUAGUCUACACUAAAACGAAGCCAUCUUUUAAGCCAUUAAAGGACAUGGAGGUCAAUUGCAUUAUCACUAAGCUAAGGAAACCAAUCUUUUAUACUGUAUGAUUCUAACUACAUGGUAUCUUAAAUGUCAGAACACAAUGAAACUGUCAACAAUCAAUUUUUGAGGCAGGAAGGAUAAAUAGAUUGUGCACUAAGUACUAUAUAUGGGACUAUACUGUCCCAUAUAUACAUGUCAUACAACAUCACCAUAACUUUGUCCCAAUCCACAGAAUGUACGACAUCAGAGGGAUUGCCUGUGUAAACUGUGCUUGGUUAUGAUGAGCCAGCAUAAGUUCGUCAACACAAUAAAUGUACCUACCUCUCAGGCAGAGGCUGUCGCUUAUGGGAAGGCUCUGUGUGCACCAGCCAGGAAGCAUAGAGGAACUUGCUGUGUUUUAUUUGUGUCUGUGUGUGUGUGUGUGUGUGUGUGUGUGUGUGUGUGUGUUGUUAGAGAACCUAAAAUUGCUUUUUUAAAAAAAAGCCUAGAGCUAGGGAGAUAUAGCUCAGCCAUUAUAGUGCCUGCCUUCAGAAGCAUGAAGAUGUGAGUUUGAACCCCAGAAAUGAUGUGAAGUAGCCAGGUCUCGUGAGACCUGCUUGUGAAUCUAGUGCUAGCAGACACAGCAUGGUGAAGUCUGGGGGUUCACUGGCUUACCUGGUGAGAGCCAGCUGAGCAGAAGACUCGGUUCUGAUUAGAAAAACCAGAGGAUGGCGACUACACCUGAGGAAUGGCCUCUGAGAUUGUCUUCCAACCUACACAGACAUGGGCAUACCACAGGCAAACAUCCACAAAGUCUAGUAAUAAAAUCAGAAAACUACAAUAAGCCAAUUGCUGGAUCCUGAAAAUAAAAUAUGAAGACCUUUGGUGUUAUUGGCCAUGGAAAAAGAUAGAAACAGUUUUUAGCAGGAAAAGGGUUAUGUGUUUGCAUGUAACUUUUAAACUAUAGGAAAGUACCAUUAUGUAUUUGGCAACAAAAUAGAAAAUGUAGACAAUGUAUGCUUACAUUUAUAAACAAACUCAAGAAGAACUAAAAAAAAAAAAAAAAAGGAUAUUCCUAUAGUUCUUAAAUAAAAGGCAAUUGUUAUGUAAAAAAGUCCCAGGCUCAGUAGGUAAAGUGCUUGAUGCCCAAGUGUGAUAUUGUUUAUGCUUGUGAGAAGGGGCCUUCACUGAGAAUACACAAAUAACUCAGUUACAAAUGGACAAUGACUCUUCUCCAAAGAAGAUGACUAAGUGUCACCUGAAAAGAUGCUUCAUCAACUUAGGUCAGACCAUGAGCCAGCAUUUUGCACUCAUCUCGGUAUGAAUCAGCAAAGAGACAGAAAGUGCCAAGUGCCCGCAAGGGCCAGGAGCACCUGGAAUGCUCGCACCGGAUGGCGGGAAUGUGGAGUUACACAGCCACUUUGGAAGACCCGUCUGGCAGGUCCUCGGUUACAGUGUGACCCAGCGUUCCCACUGGAGCAUUUAUGUCCAGCAGCACUGAAAACAUGCACACACGAGAUGCAUGUGUAAUUAGUCACAGGUGUUCCGUUCACCACAGUCAACAGCAACUAAACUAUCCACCCAUCAAUCAUGGGCUGGGCAGACCAGUGUAUGCAGACUAUAGAAUACUUCUCAGCCAGAACUUAACAGCCCAAGGUAACUCUAUUUAGUCCUAUUUUAGCAACUGCCUCCCGGCCAGGGCCAAGCACACCCCUGCAGAACAUCCCCAUACAGCCGCACAGACAGCCAGGGAAGGCGCCUUGAUUUACAAUGGGGAAUACAUUUGUGUACUAAACUGAACUGAAUCUUUGGGCCUUAUCGAUUCCUACCCUGCCUGCACUGGGGCUGAGAGAUCUCUGUGGAAGCCUCUUCUGUCUGUGGCAGGCUUUGCUCUAUAAGAAGGAAGCAAUGAACGGAGCUAAAAGGUGGAGCAGCCUUGAAAACGUAGGAGCAGGAGCCAGCGCCUUAGAGGCUGCUUCAGCAAAUUCUGUAUAUGUGAAGUCUUCAGGUGAGGCAGGCAGGAUAGGAAGUAGACCAGGCCAAGGCUGGGAAAUGGAACGUGAUGGCUGACGGUCAGGGUAUCUACUGAGGAAAAUGAACUGUUUUGAAAUUGGAUGGUUAUGCAACUCUGUGAUGAGACUGAAUAUAGAUCCUUCACAUACUGUUAAAAACGGGUGUUUUGUGGUCUGUGAACCAGUUCUCAAAAGACAAAAGGUCAGAAACAUGGAGGUUGAAAAAAAAAAAAAAAAGGAAGAGGGAACCAUCUCUAGGAGGCUUCAGCCAUGUACCUUGAACAGUUCAGACUGCAGUCCAGCUUCAUUUGCAAAUCAGCAGGGCACGCUUACAAGGGGCAGCCUGGGUUUCUGCUUAGCUCACUGCCAGGCUCGCCUUGCUCUCCAUCCCAGCCCUUAACAGCACACAGCUGCUGGCACAGGCUGGGAUGCCUCCCCUGAGCCCCUGGGCAACCCCAGCUUCCAGCUAGCCUGUUCCUGGGCCUUCUUCCAGUCACCCCUAUCAGACCCCUUCCCGCCAAGCUCACAACUGGGGUUGGUUUCUAAGAUCUGCCUGCAGGUUCCACCAGUCAUUCCUCAUUCACUGGCUCCCACCACAUCCCUGCCCUCUGCCAUUUGCAUUGUGAAUCCACUGGGGGGUAUACAUGAUUUACAAUCUUUGCUUUGUUUCUUCUUCUUUCAAGCACAGAUUUAAAAAAUGUUCUGGGCUAUACAACUGAAAAGAGGGAAGAUGGUGAGAAAUGACAAAAAAGUUUCCAAGAUAUGCAUUCCAAGAUACAAUACAGUAAGACAGAACAUAUAAGAAGGCUUACGUCAGUUAUGUAGAUGGGGGCUUGACAAGCAGCAAUCUGAUAAAUCAAAUUAAUAUUACAGACUCUUAGAACCUUAUUGAGUCUAUGUAUGCUGAUUGUGUUUCUUAUUUUCUUCAUCGUGUAUUUUGAUAUCUUUUUUUUUAUUAGGCGCCUCCUCUGUGCAUAUUAGCUUAGCUAUUCAUGUUUCUUCUAAUAAUCUUAAUUUAGCUACAUACCUUUUAAAUCUAGAAUUCUGAUUAUAUGUAUCAACUGGACAUAUUAGUGGAGUGUGUUCUUGAUUUCGAAUAUACAGCAGGCACUGACUAAGUGCAGUCUCCUUCUCUCCCCCGCCUUUAGCAAUGACCAUUCCAUUUCAGUUCAACUUCUCGUUACAUUUGUCAUCAGCUUCCUCACACAGGAGAGAACAUGCCAGACUCAUUUUUCUGUCUUGUUUAUUUCACUUAGCAAAAUGUCCUUCAGUUCCAUCCAUUUCAUGGCAAAUAACUUGAUUUUAUGCAUCUUUGUGAUUGAAUAAUAUUCUAAUAUAUAUAUAUAUAUAUAUAUAUAUAUAUACACAUAUAUAUACACAUAUGUAUAUAUACACGACAUGUCAUAUAUUAUAUAUUAUACAUUAUAUAUUAUAUUACAUAUUUAUUAUAUAUGGUAUGUGUAAUAUAUACUAUAUAUGCAGGGUAUAUAUAUAUUAUUUAUAUGUAUACAUAUAUGGUAUAUAAUAUAAUAUAUACCGUAUUUUCUCCACCCAUUUGUUGUCUACCCUUGAUGUGCUCCUUGUGGUCAGCUGCCUAGGUUGACCUCCCAUUUAUUCAUUAUGGCCGCUGCAGCCAACACAAGCAUCCCGAAUCUCUUUGCCCUGCUGGUUUUGUUCCCACUGGAACCAUUCAGAACUGGUGUUGUUGCAUUCUAUGCUCGGUCUAAUUUUAGAGUUUUAGAGAUUUUGUCUUGCUCUGCACAACAGCUAUAGUAAUUUGCUUUUCCACCAUCAGUAUAUAACUCCUUGUGCUCAGCUUCCUUGCCAGCAUUUAUUUGUUUAUUAUAACAACCGUUCUAAGCAGCGUGCGAUGAUCACAGAACCAGGAAGAGAAUAUUCUUCCCAAUGGCUGGCUAAUUUCUUAAGAUAGUAAAUUACUUCCUUGCAAACGGACUCAUAAAUGCAAGCUAAACCCACACAAUAUUUCCCCUCCGUAUAUUUGCCCAUGGCUAUGUACGAUGCAAUCAGAGAUCACCGUUGUCCAAACCCUCUAGAAUACGUUAGAAUAACCAGUCCUAAGCUGUUCACUCUGCUGGGCAUUCCCUCCGUCAGGAAUGAAUAUGGCCAAUGCUUGUUCCUUGUUGGUUCUGUUUCUUGAUCAAAACAUAAUGCUUUCUCAUGGCCCUGUGUGAUGAGGUAUGUCCCUUUCCCUGGGACUUGUAUGUCAUAAAUUCUUCUAAUGACAUCAACCUCUUAUCAGUGAGUUCCCUCUACAACUUUAAACACAACUCAUGCAUGUGACAUCGUGUUUCUGAGGCACUCAUGGGAUUAAAACAUUUUCUAGUCAACCCCAUCUGCUAUGGUUUGACUGAAAUGUCCCCACAGGCCCACAUUUUGAGUGCUUGGUUCCUGGACUGUGUGUAGGAUGAUUCUGUAGUGGCUGCAGGAGGUGGGGCCUGGUUGGCUGGAUUGGAACAGUAGGGACAGGCCUGGCCUGCCCUGGUGGACUGUGUCACCUGAAACCGUGAGCUAAAACAAACCAUUUGCUCUCCAAGUACCUGGUCACAGUGAUAAGUAACAAACUCACAAUAAACUAGAUUCAACUGUGGAGACUAGGGGAGGACCUUUAUCAAUUCAUUGUUGAUAUCUUUCAAACUGUAGUGCCCUAAUAUUCAUAAGAAAAAGUUUAAUUUGAAACUUCUUAUGCUGGCAGUUCUGGGAUGCUAUAUUGUGUCUGGUUUAUGGGUGGGACUGUUCAGCUCAGGGGUGGUUUUAUGGUUCAUACUGAUACUGGCUGAUUCUUCUCUGACCCGCCAGCCCAAUCAUUCCUACUGAUAGACAUACUGGCUGAACAUCAGGGUUGGCAUUGCUGAACAUUUUUCAUUGUGUCCUCAGUAAAGGGAGGGGCAACACCACCUUCUGUCCUAGCCAUGGAUGGGUUAGCAAUGUUCUUUGAAGGUCAUCACUGACCACUUUGACCGAGUGCAACAGCAACUGGAAUAACCGAACGGGUGCUUAUUAUGAAAAACUGCCUUGUACAUCAAUGUAAGCUAAACAUUUUCAAUAAAUCAUCUCAGAGCAGCAGCAUCUUACUGUAUAAAGUCAUCACAAAAGGUCUCUUUUGCUGAACAUGCAUUAGUGAACAAAAACCAGAAACUAGAUUGAAAAUAAUGAUCUCAUUAAACAUUAACAACGCAGUGGUAAAGUUUUGCAAACACUUGCAAUUUUGCAAAGUUCUUCUAAUCUAGAGAGUAUUUCCAUUUUUAUUUUUUUUAAAGUAAUAAUCUUAAAGUUCAGGAAUCUACCCAAGCAGUCGUGGAUUUUUUUUUCCCCUCAGAGACAACAAGAAUUCACAAAGCAAACCUCACUGUUUAAGACACAGAACUUCAGGAAUAUGUUUGUGUUAGGAAAAAAAGUAAGGAGACAAGAAUGGUGGAUUGUUGCAAAAGUGCUGUGGUCAAGCCUGCUCUAAAAUGCAAUAGCUCAAAAGGAACGGGAGCAGUAAGAUAGUGUGUGUUUGCCCCCUAAAGACGAGCACCCCUCCUCACAUACACAUAUAUUUAACAAUUGCUCAGUGUCUGUUCUCAGGGGGUAGAAUGAUCUAGAAUUUUCAGAAGUCAGAAUAGCAUUUCUUCCUUCAUAAUAAUGGAAAUAGCAAGUCCCAGCUCAAGUUGAGUGAGUCGAAGAUGUUUACAAUCAUGUUUUUUAAAGUCUUGAAUGUAAAAAAAAAAAAAAACAUGACCAGAUGAUAUCCAUCCAGCAAAAUGUACAUAUGAUGUUAACGUUGAAACCAAAGGAACCCAGACACAUCUUUGACCAAUCUUUUUCAAAGACAGACUCUGCAGGACAUGGUUUCAUUUGCAUAAAGAUGACAACUCUGAUGUGUUGGCUAACUUAAUCUUCUCCGCUAGUGUACUUUUCUCAAAAAUAGUGAGACACCCAAAUGCAGUAAUCUGCAGUCACUUUCUGAGGUGUUUUCAGAGUCGUUUAGUAAUGACUUUUGUCAUCUAGUCAGAAUGUAUUUAGUAAAAAUUGGCUUCUUUGAAAUGUUUUUGAAGCAACUCUCACUAAAAUACUGAUGAGAAAUUCUGCACACAUUCCUUCCUUUAAGAACUUUCAGUUUUAAGCUACCUCACAUGCCCGGAAGUAUGUCUGUCCUUACUAAAUGACCCACCGAGAGCACUCAUCACUCAGUCUCUGGGCUUUUAAGUGGCUGCAGCGUUUACAGAAGACUCACUGUUCUGGUCAGUGUACAGAGACACAGAAAUGCCCACACAGCGUGGAGAAAGGGCUGUUAUCUAAGGUUUUAAACCUUAUGAAAAAGCCACAGUUCUGAGAACCUGCCAAGAGUCACUGCCGUCUUCUUUACCGUCUCACUGUAUUUGUGGAGGAGGAUUUCAGAUCUAAAUUGGUCGGUCCCCAGAGCUCCUCCUGUGGCCCAGGCUGCAUUACCAUCUACUGACAUUUCCUAACCACCACACACUCUCUGUGCCAGGGAGGCCAGGGAGCAGACAAGGGUGUGCAGUAUUGAACCCUGGAAGGCACAGGCGCAGGUUGGGGAAUGGCAUCAAGGUUCCCCAGUGUAUCAUGGAGCUGCUGAGCCUGGGCUCACACAGGGAGGACCGGUGUGUGGUUGUGCUGCGUGCUCCGUCUUCAGCUGAACAGGAACCUCACGUAACGUACUUCUGACCUCCGAUUUGGGCUCCUGCUUUUUCCUUUCUUGAAAUAGACGCCAUGUAGGCAACGCCUACCAUCACCGGAGUGACAAAGUGAUCCUCACAAGUCUCUCAGGUCGGCCUUCCUUCCCUCUGGGCUUUGGAAUGUGAAUCUAGUUUGGGCACAUGCAGCCGUGAGUUGGGCAGCAUCCCGAUUCUGCUACGUGCCAGUGUGACUACGCAUCCUGGGCCUUCUCUGACCCGAGCUAGGUUCAUCACUAGGAAACAGGAGGUGUCAGCACACAUAAAUAAAUGCCAGCAACUUAAAUGUAGAUUUCCCGGAGGAUGACUGACAGCCAGGAAGAUAUUACGCUGCUGUAGCUCAAGCCAGGGCAGUUCCCUCAUUUAGAGAGUUUACAAUCUGUGCCUCACGGAUGAAGAGCCCAAGAUGUGAAGAGAGAAAUGCACCAAAGAACUUCUCAUGAUAUUCCACUGGCUUCUGGCCACUGCUGUGGACUUGGGGAGGUUGGCGUCGGAUGGCUUCUUCAGAAUUGACCUGCUGCUGCUGAUUCGUGAAUGGUGUUUGCGAGUGGAUUGAGCUUCCACUGCUGACUCAUGGGAACUGAGCUGCUGACAUCCUGACAACAAAGAUUGGAAUGGCCCCAAAGAGCUGUUACAAGCAGGUCCACAUCCUCCUUUGCCCUAUUAACCUUUCCUUUCCACUCCCUCUGGUGGGUGGUGGACUACAGGGAGGUUAAAACAUCUAGGAAACCUUAUUAAAGCAGGUUGUGAAAAAUCUAAGCCUACGCAGAAGCAGACUGAAGGAAAAUUGUGGAAAUGCUGGUGAUGGCUACCCCAGGUGACUGCAUUGUAGAUGACAAUUCUAUCUAUUUUUGUAUUUAUAGUAUCUGUAUUUAAUGCUAUCCUUUUUUAUUUUCUCUGCCUCUCUUUUUAUCCUCAGCAUCCAUAACUAUGGUAACAGUGGUAAUCUCUAUACCUCUGCCUAUAAUUUAGACCAUUAUAUGCACACAGUAACCACAGCAAACCUUAGAACACUUUUUAAAGCUAGACCUGUGAGUAUUCUCUAACAAGAGAUCAAGUACUUAGUAUUUCCGUUUUUCCUUUCUUCUUUUGCUGUUUUGUUUUUUGACACAGGGUUGUAUGUAACUGAGGCAGGCUUUGGACUCCUUGUUCUGGGUCUUUCUCUCAAGUGCUCGGAUUUCAGGCACAUAUCGCAGUGCCUGGCCCUCAUGGUUUCUUACGUGAUUUUUGUUUCCUUUAUAGUUUGCUGUCCCUCAAGAUUUAGGAAUUUGAUUUGCAUGAGAGAGGAACAUAAUAGUUUGUUUCUGUGGAACAAUGUUUUCCUAGAACCCAAAAGUCAGAAGUCCUUAAAACAUAUAUGUUUCAUACUUGGUGCUGAAAAUACAGUUGGGGUUGAACAGGGCUCGGUGGGUAAGUGCACUGGCUGCUCUUGCAGAGGACCCAGGUUCCAGCACUCACAACCAUCUGCAACUCCAGUUCCAGGGAUCCAGUGCCCUCUUCUGGCCCCUUUGAGUACUGCAUGUGCAUGCAUGUGGUACACAGACAUAAAUGCAGGCAAAACUCUCAUAUGCAUAAAAUAACAAAAUAAGAAUGGACAAAAGUUCUGGAAAUGUGCUGAGAUGUGAGAAAGAAGAGUGGAUACUGUCUCAGUUCCCCAAGGACCCCGUAGUUAAAGUCUGCAGUCCCCCUGUACCUUUUACCUAACAGAAUCAGUCCUUAUGGGGUUUCGUUAUCAGCAUUUAAGGGUACAGGCAAUGGGGGGGGGGGGAGGAGUAGGACAAUGAGGCCUUGGUUCCAAGACUGGUAGAGCUUGUUUCUGUAGAAGAUACAGAAAAUCAAGUGACUCAAAAUACUCAGGAGAUACACUGGUUGAAAUAUAAGCGGGCCAGUUUGAGCCCACAUCUCCCGGCAUCUCUCAGUUUACACUGUGAUGUCCUCCAAGCUUAGCCCUGCAGCCUUCCAAUGGGAAAUUGCUAAUGGGCACUUCUCUCUCCUUCCAACUGACAGAUUACUUUAAUCUGUUUAAAUGUGUACAAAGGUGGCAUUAAUUUUUAUAAAUUAACAGCCACAGCUUUUUAAAAAAAUCUAUUUCAGACUUAACCUUAGAUAAGGAACAGGAAAAUGGAACAUUCGCCGUCUGACUGACAGGAAAAAGCAAACUUUGCAGUUUUGAAAAGAUGAGGUCCCCACAAAUGUUGUUUAUUAAGUAUCCAGAACUAUGAUUCCCUUUUCUUCUUUUUCUUUUUUGAAUAUUUCUAUAUAUAUUUAAUUUACAUAUAAUUAAUUAUAUAAACUUGAGAGAUGUUUAUUAGGCUACACUUUCUGGCCAGUCUAAGGCACUUUCCUGAGACACGGCUGGCAUGGGAGUAGAUGUCACAGCGAGAUUUUUAACUGCAACUCCUGAAAUCAUUAUUUGUUCCCCUGCCAGGUGAGGCUGUUACUGAUCUGCUUGCUGGCCCCAGCUCCUGCCAGGCUAGGUGCCCAGCGCUGUGGCCGCCCCUCCAAAGGCUCCUCUCUUCUCUUACUCCCUGACCUCUUCAGUUGCAGGUAGUCGCUCUUGUUAAAAGUGCUCUUGGCUUUUGUCUGCCAUUAAAAAGACUGAUUACCUAUCUAAUUUCCUCUUGGGCUCUCUGUUUCUACUGUUAGGAAAACUAUCCCCAUGUUUUGCUAGUCUUUGUGAAGUCCUUAUUAUCUGGGACUAUGUUUUGAAUUAGUUGCUAAUACUUUUGAUGGCUGAAUUUCUGAGGGCUCCAAAUAUACAAUAAACAUCUGCCUUGCAAAGGACUGGUCACACACCAAAGGAAGAAUACAUGGUUACAAUCAAGGCAAGACUGCCUUCAUUCCUCCCUUCCUCUUCCUUCCUUCCCUCCCUCCCUCUCUCCUUCCCCCUUCCUUCUCUCUUUGCUUCUCUUCUUCCCUCCCUCCAUCCCUCCAUCAUCAUCACCGUCAUCAUCACCACAGUCACCAUCACUAUCAUUGCCGCUGCCGCCACCACCACCACCACCAUCAUCAUCAUGGCCUUUCUGUUUUUCACUUAUGGCUGUUAUUAGUAUUCAUUAAAUGAUCAGGUUCAUGACUGUUUAUAGAUUUGUUAAUUUUGUUUAAUAACUUUAAUAUAAAAUGUAAAACUAAGGCAUGAAUUUGAGGGGGGGCACUAGAGGAGUCAGCAUGGAGAGGGAGGGUAGAAGUGAUGUGAACACACACACUCCUGGACGAUACUUCCAAAGCAAUCAAUAGAAAGGUCACGGUUCAGACUCUGAAGUUCGGUUGCUGCUGAAUGCAUCUUGCAUUUCAGCUCUGCUAAGCUGAGCGACUGUCAGUGACCCAUCAUUGUCAGUAAAUCAUCUGUACAAUGAAGUUUAAAAGACCAAAGCCCUUUCACCACCGUUCAUUUUCUUUCUAGGCCCCGGCUUUGCACAUCAAUUUUGGCGUCUAGCUUCAUUAGAUUCAUAGUGUUUCCAGGAGCCACAAUUGAGGCUUUUCUGCUUUAUCACUGGGUGAUUCUAAAGUUUAUGAUACUCACAGAAUUGUGGAAUAUCUAAAAAUAAUCUGAGGUAUUAUAUUAUCUAUAUAUCACUGCAUGACAAACAAGAUUCAGAAUGGUAUAUAGUAAACACCUAGCAUAGUAUUAUCUCUUAGGUCAUUAUUACAAAAUCAGUAUAUUUAGACUCACGAAAGGGAAGAAUCGCUGGCUUACUCAAACAGAAGACGACCUUUAGCAUCUGUUGGGUCAUUCUAGACUUUCUUCAGUGUUUUUACAUGUGGAUGUCUCGAUGUGGGGUACAUCUGUGUGUGUGCAUGCUCUCAUGUGAGUGUGUGUGUACGUGUAUAUGGGUGUGUCUUCUUCCAUUGGGUUUGCACCUUGUAUCUAAGGGCAGGGUCUCUUGCUGAACUCAGAGCGGCUGGUUGGUUAGUCUGGCUAGCCAUCUUGCUCUGGGAUCCCAUAGCUUCACCUUCUGAAGGUUGGGAUAAAACAUAGGCAGCCACACCCACAUUGUAGGUGGGGGCUGGGGAUCCAAAUGGCAGCCCCUGUGUAUCAGCUCACUGCCCUGUGAGCCGGCCCCUCCAGCUCUUGUUUCUUUGGUUUUUAAAGACAAAACUCAGCCACUGCUUCUCUUCAUGUUUCAUUUUAUUUUCUUUGAUUUAUUUUUUUCUUAGCAAGAUAACUUCCUUCAUAAUUUAUUUUUAUCUGAGUUACAGGUGACUUAAAGCCUCAGACUGUAGGCCAUACAGUACCUUGAUUUUGCCUUCAUAUAUAAAUAUUGGUUUGGACAGGUGUAGAAGUCUGGGUUCGAGGACAUUUCUCCACACAAAUCUGAGAUCUUCUGCCGCGGCUUCGCAUGCCCAGCGCUGCUGCUGAGGCGGCGUUACGGACUGAAUCCCUGUUUGAUACUCUCCUUACUUCAGAGUCUCCUAACAGAGCUCUCUCUGCACAGACUGAAUUCUCAUCGCACUAUGUCUGGUACGGUGUGCACACCUCUCUCCAUAAAUUUUUCUAACAUGGGUUUCUCCAUGAAGGAAGUGGCUGUCAACAUGGUAGCCCAUCACGGCAGGAUCACACAGCUGACUUAGGAAGGCAACUUGCUCUUCCCUUAGAGCCCAGAGGAUGGUACCACAUGCUGCCUGCCCAGGAAGAGAUCUAAUGCAAUGGUCUCUUGCUUUUGCACCACCUUAAAGUUAAUGGUCACUACACUGGGAGGCUGCCUCUGUUGCCUUAAAAGCUCCUUAGGUGAGUUACAUGUAGUCAAGUUGAGAAACACGUCUGGGUGGGACAUUUGCAAGGGAUAGUUUCCCUUUUACCAGAGCAAAGAGGGAAGUGUUUGAGAAGUGUUUAGAAUAUCCUAUCUAUCCCUGGAGAGAAAUGUCUCUUUUCAUCUCUCUGACUGCUAUGGAGAAUUCUCUUGGUCACUACUGUCACCGCCUCCUAGAGGAGGCUGUUCCCUUACUAAUAUCCUCCCUGGUAGGACAGACACCCUUUGCUAAAAAUAAUUCUCUGUAGUUAGCCACAAACAGAUGGGGGAUGGGGUAGGGAUGUGGCUUAGGUGGUAGACACUUGCCUGGCACAGGCACAGGCACAGGCACGGAGUGUGAUUCCAGCACUCAGGACAUGAAGGCAGAAGAUGGUUGGCAAGAAUGACAGAAAAAAUGGAUGAAUAAGAGUCCCGCCUCCACACGGUGCAAAGGAGCCCUCCGAGUCGGAACAACUGCGUGCUAGAGACCCAGGAGGCCCACAUGGGUGCAAAGUGGUAGAGAAGAGGUAAGGUGGGAACACGCUCAGAAAGGAGCUUUGGUUUUGCUCCUACGGCACUGGGAGGACAACAAAGGGUUUCCAACUGGCUGCUGCGGUUGCAAUGGCACUCAUCUAGUAGGGGACCCAGGCAGAAGCAGGCAGGCCAGUAAGAGAUAAGAAGUGGCCCUUGAGACGAACAUACUGGUACUGAAUGAAGGCUUACACCCCCUAUUGCUUAUGCUGAGGCCUUAGUGUCUGAAACGACAGCAUCAGAAGGUGAGGCUUUGGGUCCGACUGGGAGAAGCCCAUGAAUGGGCUUAGUGCCUUUAUAAACAGACUGUGAGGGCGUCUUCUGCUCUGGCUUGUGAAGACAUACACGAUGACCAGCUGCAAGCAAGUAAACAAGUCUCACCAGACGCCAGCUCUGCAGGCGCCUUGCUUUUGACCUUCUCAGCCUCCAGGUCUGUGAGAAACAAAUCUCUGUGGCUUAAGGCACCCAGCCUAUGGUACUUCGUCCCCAGAGAUGGAGACAGCGAAGACAGUCUUGUUAAGAGCCAAGGCAAGUGUUUGCACAGUUCAUCUUUUCAGCAUCUGCUGGAAGAGUUGUGAGCGGUUCUGUGUUCAUUCGAUUGACUUGGCUCUGGGCUUUCACUUCGCAGUGUGAAACAGUAACGCUGGACUCCAGGCUCCAUUCAAUACUCUGGAGUGCUGCCAUCCAGAACUGGUUUCUCCCUGUGGCUUUCCCCUAGGAUGCUCCAGACAAAGCUGCCACAGAAAAUUGCACAGGACAAAAGGCACCCUGAGGGUCCACAGGGAGCUGUCUAUAGCACAGCAGGUCAGCGAGUUCAGCCAAACAGGAAGUGAGAUGCUCCUCGGUGAUGCAGCCAAAGAUGACUUUGUUCCAAUGGAAUCUGCUCAGGAGCAGACUGACUCUCAGUUCCCUUACUGCUGUCCACACCCUUACUUAGUUAAAAGAGGGCAUGUCUGAAAGAAAAUGGCCUACUGGAGUCCUGAAAUUAACGUUCUUCUCUUCUCCUCUCUUCUCUUUUCUCUCCUUCUCUUCUCUUCUCUUCUCUUCUCUUCUCUUCUCUUCUCUUCUCUUCUCUUCUCUUCUCUUCUCUUCUCUUCUCUCUCCUCUUCUCUUCUCUUCUCUUCUCUUCUCUUCUCUUCUCUCUUUCUUCCUUUCUUUCUUUCCUUUCUUCUUUCUCUUUCUUUUCUUUCUUUCUUUCUUUCUUUCUUUCUUUUUCUUUCUUUCCUUUCUUCCUUUGCUUUCUUUCUUUCUUUCUUUCUUUCUUUCUUUCUUUCUUUCUUUCUUUUUUUCCUUCCUUCUUUCUUAGUGGAGAAUGUUCUGUCUUUUCAUACAAUAUUUUGACCACAGUUUCUCCUUCCCCUACUCCUCCUAGGACCUUCCCUUCUACAUAAUUCCAUGACUUCUCUCUCUCUCUCUCGAUCUCUCUCAAACAAACUAAACAAACAGGCCAUCAAACUAAUAAUAAUAACAGUAAUUUAAAAACAGAGAAAAAUAACAAAGAGAAUGCAUUAAAAAUCCACCCCAGCACAAAAAAAAAAAAAAAAAAAAAACCAAAACCCAUAAAAACACAAAACAGGAAAACUGUAAUAUAUAGGUAAAAGGUCUGUAAGACUGAAACCUUAAUUCCAAAUAUCAUUUUUCAGUAUGGAGUUCCCACUGUCCUUUGCCUCCCUAGCCAGGCAUUGUGGGACUCUACUCUCAUUUCUCAAUUAGACAUACAUUAUUUCUUUUUAAAAGUAUGAGUAUUUUUGCUUUGCUUUGUUUUUAUUAUAGUCAAUUCUUAGGGAAAGUAAUCCUAGCCAGCCAACUAAAAGCCAGUUGAUCAGGGGCUGGCGAGACUGCUCGGUCAGUAAAAGGCUUUCCAUACAAGCACAAGGAGCUGACUUCCAUUCCCAGAGCCCAUGUUCAUGAAAAAGCCAGGCAGCUGGGCAUGGAGGUACAUAUGUGCAAUCCCAGAGCUGGGGAGAUGACAAAAGGGGAAUAUUUAGGGCUUGGUGGCUGUUGUGGUUUGAAUAAGAAUGGCUCUCAUAGGCCCAUAGGGAGUGGCACUCUUAGGAGGUGUGGCCUUAUGGGAGUAGGUGUGGCCUUGUUGGAGGAAGUCUGUCACUGAGGGUGGGCUUUGCGGUUUCAGAUACUCAAGCCCAGUCCAGUGUGGCAUUCUCUUCCUGCUGCCUAUAGAUCCAGAUGUACAACUCUCAGUUUCUUCUCCAGUACCACACCUGCCUGCAUGCCACCAUACUUCCUGCCAUGAUGAUAAUGGACUAAACCUCUGAACUGUAAGCCAGCCUCAAUGAAAUGUUUUCCUUUAUAAGAAUUGCUGUGGCCGUGACAUCUCUUCAUGGCAAUAAAACCCUAACUAAGACACUGGCCUGGGCAAGUUCCAGGUCUUUCAAAUACUCUGACCCUGGGGAUGUAGGAGGGAGAUGGGCUGUGUGUGAUGGAGCACGCCUUUAAUCCCAGCAGAGGUGAAUCUCUUUGAAUUCAAAGCCAGCCUAGUCUACUUAGCUUGUUCAAGGCCUGCUAAGGCUACAUAGUGAGACCCUGUCAAAAAAAAAAAGUUGGGAGGCCCCCAAGGAAUGACAUCAAAGGUUGUUCUCUCACUUUCAGAUGCAUACAGGUGCACACACACUCCUCAACAUGUGUGCACCUGCAUGCAUAUGAAUACACAUAGCACAGACACACACACACACACACACACACACACACACACACACACACACACGAACAUCAUUGAUUGAAACAGGCUAGAGGAAAGGGCAAAUUAUUCCCAUGGAUUUAAAGAUUAGCAAAUACCAUAGAAACUGAAGGGAGAAACAGCCAGUGUGGGUGUGUUUAUGCUCACAGCACUUCUAGUUGGAAAGUCAGUCUCUUAUCACAAUGUAUUUCACCUGACAAAGGGUACUUAAAUAUCUUUUAAAGAAACGCUAAUUGCAGGCUUCUUCGAAUAGUGCUGGAGAUUUGCAUGAUGCAAAGUCAUUGAAGCACACCAAUUAAAACUGAGAAGGUGCUGUAUGGUGUCUUAAUAAUUUCAAAGCUUCAGGUUGAAAAUAAAAUUCCUAUGCUUUCCUUACAUCUUCUCUGCCACUUAAAAUUGAUUGCCAAGCUUCCAGCAUUAUGGAUUACUUUAUAGUUAGGAUGUACACAUUUCUGGCUAUGUAGCUCAACAGAGCCUGACAACACUGUGAACAUAUACCAGCUGCUCUGUCCUGCCCAGAAACUAACCCAGGGGAUGCCACAGAAAAGCAAAGAAGGCGACCACAUCUCAGAAACUCAUUGUAAACUGGGGAAGUCUUUCAAGAGAGUGGCUGAAACCCAGUGUGGACAGCAACCACCAGUUUAGACCUGAAGAGCGGAGGAGGAAUGACCAGCAUGCAAGCAGCACACAUAAACACACCCUUACUCCCCUGGGAGAGAAUGCCAGGGUAGAAAAAAAGGCAACACCAAACUCCUGGGGCAACCCCAGAGCAUUCCCUCAAUGUCCAAGGUAAAGACAUAGAGAAGUUCCCAGAGAGGCAGACACGCAGUGGUACCAUAAAUGGGUGACAGUGAAGGUGACCAGGGUGAGGUCAUGCGGAGGUUGAAAGGUCAACUUUAGCCCCAGAUCAGCAGAAGCCUCUCUUUGGUGAGAGCAUCCGUUCAAGCAUUCCAUAGGUUUACUAUGUGGGGAUGCAAGUUAGACACUCAAAAUUGGUAAACAUCCAACUGAUAAAACCAUGAGAUAAGAGAUCAACCAAAAAUUGAAAUUGGAAAUUCAAAGCCUGCACUGAAACUCAAACACAUUAAACUGUUAAUACAAUUUAAAUAUAAUAUGUUCAAACGAAGGACAAACUUUAUGUCCAACAGGUAGCAGACACUUCAUUUUCUUCAGGCAUGCAGGAGACAGUCCCCUGCUGGAGCACAAUUAAAACUUAAUACAUCCCACCAUGAAUCAACACCGCUCAGCUAAUCAAAGAGUAAUGAAUUAAAACUCACGGGAACAGAAAACACUUCAGUCCGAAUGACGGUGAAAACCUGUGUCAAACUGCGUGUGAGUUUUAAAUACAUCUGUGAGGAAAUAGGAGAGUGUAAUGAAGGUUCUAGGCUUCCAACUCAAGUGUUACAAAAGCAGCCACCACAUCAGUGUAAGGAGAACCCGAUGGCACAGGGGGACAGCAAGAGGCUGAAGAGUGGGAAAAAGAGGUUGAGCUGUAGUUUUGUUUUUGAAAGAAAAAACAAAAAAACAAAAAACAAAAAAAGAACCACAGUAUGGAACCCAGAUAAAGAGCCGUGGGUAUAAGAGAGAUCCCAAGUCAUAUUGCGAUCAACUCUAGGUGGAUAGUUUGAAACCAGAAUAAACAAAUACAUUUGGUUAAAAUAUAUAAAAUGUAAAAAAAAAAAAAGUGUUAAAAUUCAUACAAACACGUGUCACCGAAGUGUAACAUGGAACAAUGGCCAUUAGAAAUGAUGCUGACACAGUAAUGGAAGCGUCUUCCAUGAAGGAGACCCUUGGACUCAGGUAGUGUCACGUUUCAGUUCUACCAUGCACUCAAAGAUCUGAUACUUCUUUUACACAAGUUGCUCCUUUUAAAAGGGAAGGGAGGAGGGAGAGAAAGAGAAGAAGGAGAGCGAGAGAAAGGGGAUGGGAGGAGGGAGAAAUACUUCUGCCUCUGUCAGAACAACAGAAGUCUGAAAUUCAAAUAUCAAUUAUUGACAAGAAAGAUUUGCUUCACUGGUGGGGAUAUCCCCACUAGUUUGAGGGGGUAAAUUCCACAGUUUGAGGGUAAAUCGUGUAUAUGAGCCACUAAUGAGGUAGCGAUUCGUCAUGUGUAGUAUGGCUUACAAGAAUUCUGCUGUUUAUAUAAGGUUUGAAUAAGAUACCUUUUACUUGUUUUUUUUUAUUUAAAAUUUUUGUGUAAUUGAUUUUAGUCACAUUCUUUUCCCUCCCCCAACUCCUCCCAGAUCCCAACUUCACCUUCUUUCUCUUUCUCUCGAAGAAAGGGGAAAAAAAAUCAAAGUAAACAAACUAUUAAAAACAAAACCAAUAAAACAAAAUAUUUAAAACAAAACAAACAACAACAAAAAAGCAUAUUCACACAUACAAAAAAAAACAACCAAUGGAGUCCAUUUUUUUUGUUGGCCACCUAUCUCUGAGCGUAAGGCCUGCCCUCUGUGUGGUAGGAUAUACCUAGUCCUCCACUAUGGAAGGGAAAUGAAUUUUCCCUUCCCAGCAGGAAGCAAUUACAGGUAGCUUCUUGAUUAGGGGUGAGUUGGCAAGUCCUCUCCUCAGUGCUGGGCUCUGCCUGGGCUUCCUGGGCUAUUUCAAGCACUGUUGCGUGGGUGGCCUGAGCAGCUGGAAGUCACCUGGGAGUCACCUGUAAAAUCUGAUGGCUGCACAGGAAGAGACCUCGUCCACAUAAACUCUCAAGACAAAGACAAGUAACAAAAUAAAAACAAAAUAACAAACUACUGAGGUAAACCAAGGGCCUAUGUAUUCAAGCAGAGUAUUCAUCUUCUUUAUAAUUGAAAACAUAACCUAAAAUCACCUUGUAUAUUUAUAAAGCAUAACCAACCCUUAUCAUUUCCAUCAACGAGUGUCUCUAGCAUCAAGAAUUGAGCAGAUUAGCCUCCAACUGGCCAUUCUGACAUAACUGCCAUAUUAUAAAUGUCUCAGAAAUAUGGAACGCUGAAGAUUAAGACAGAGUUAGCAAGUGGCUUUGUGCAAGUCAGAAUAAACUGCACGGCUAGGUUUCUAACAACUCGGCUGUGCUUUAAACUUUUCUACAGCUUGUUAGCAGGCAAUCUGAUGCCUGCAUUUACCUACCAACUGGUAGACAAGGCCAUGCAUUUUUAUGCUGACACAGCAGGACACACUUUCCAAAGAAACAAUGGGGUCAUUGCUAAAUGCCAUAAAUACCCCAGCCAGAAUGAAUGGCUUGUUCCAUGGCAGAAUUACCUUUGUGUCUUCAGAUGGCUCACUGCCCAAGACACUCACUCAUCCUUAACUAAGCUAAGGCAUCACAUUAAGGAUAGUAUUACAACUUAAUAAAGAAACAAAUGUUUUUGUGUUCUCAGAUUUCUACUGUUGUUGUCUGUUUUCUAAAGGAUUAAAAUCUCUUGCAGAAUUGACUGCCUGUGUGGAAACACAAAAUAGAAAAUAUCACUCACUACAGCUGCAUGAGUUGAUUGGGGGUAGGGGGCGGGGCCUGGCAGGCCCGAUGGCAAAACCACAAGCCAUGUGUGAGUUACAGAUCUCUAGCAGGGUGUGAAGCCCACUGUAACUACCAAGAUGCCAAAGGAUGAAAUCUAGACAAGAGUUCUUCCUCCUACACAAAAGACUUCCUCAGAAAGCAAUAAAGAAAGGUUACCAAGGAGGCUUCCAGGAUUUUCUGCUUUGGACCCCUAUCCCUAAGGAACUCUGUUGAGCGUUUCCUAGUCACUUCUGCAGAGAAAAGAACAGAAAGACAUGAGGUGGCACGGAAGGAACUGAAAGGGGCCUGGAUAUAGCUCAGUGAACAGAGUGCUUGCCUCGUGUGCACAAAGCCUGGGUUCUGACCCCCAGGAUCACACGGGAUCCAGCUGUGAUUGAUGGAGUACACCUGCAGCUCCGGAACUUAGGAGGAGCAAGCAAGGAGAUUGGAAGCUCAGGGCCGUCCUCUUCUUUAUGAUCUGAAGGCAGCUUGGAAUACACAAGACCCAUGUCUCAAAACAAAACAAAGCAAAACAAAAAACCCAAGAAGGAAGGAAGGAAGGAAGGAAGGAAGGAAGGAAGGAAGGAAGGAAGGAAGGAAGGAAGGAAGGAAAAAGAAAAAGAAGCAAAAGCAACAAGGAAAAAGUUAAAUAGAUUACUCCUUUUGCUGUCAUGGUGUAACUUAACCAAGCACAGCUCUGCAAUCUGAACAUAUAACUGUAAAGGCUUGAGGUUUUGUUCCACUUGUUCUUUAAGGGGUAAGGAACUAGGAAAAGGACACCUUGAUUUUCCAGGAAUCAUGUCGAUUCUCCUUCUAUUCUUAAAAAUACCUUCUUCUCUUUCAAAGGUUCACUCAAGUAUCAUCUCAGCUGGUUGGCACCACUGACCACCCAGGUAGUUCCUGGCCUCUCUGCGUUUCCUGUCCAUACAUAUUGUAUUGUACUUGCUUCCUCUGUAGAGCGGCGAUGCACUGCCCUAUCUUCUUCAUCCCAGAAUCCAGCCCACUGCAAAGUAUGUGCUGACUGUAUUUACACAGUUGGUUUUCAGUUUGGGGAUAUGUUUCUAAUAGCUACAGUAGGAUUUUAGUUUUAUUGUAUUUGUGUGUGGUGUGUCCAUGUGUGUGUAGCUACAUGUGUAUAUGUGGGUGCAUGUGUAGGUUGUCUUCAUGCUUGUAGGGAGAGCUCAGUCAGAAGGGUACUUCUUCAGAUGCUCUCCUGCAUGCCCCCUUUGAGGCAGAAUCUCUCACAAGCCAAGAGUUUACCAAAUAUGCUAGGCUGGCUCUCCCGUGGAUCUGAGAUCCGCCUAUACUCCGAGUCCUCAGUGCUGAGAUUCCCAUGAGCCUCUAAGAUCCGCCUGUCUCUGAUUCCUCAGUGCUGAGAUUACAAGCACGGGUCCCACACUUAGCUUAUUGUUUCCUUCUUUUAAAAAACUAAAACAAAACAGCCUGGAGUUGAGUUCUUAGGAAGUCUUAUGGAGGUGGUAGGGACAGCAAAUGCAUUGAGCCCUCCUAAACAUUUUAUGAAACCAACAAGAUAAAGGUGAGCAAUGAACAAGUGGGAGGUCUAGUGGUUCUUUACCCAGUGUUUUUCUUAAAGGUGGAGGUCCUGGGAACUGGAUGUAGGAACUUGUAUAUUCUAGGCAAGUACUGUGCCACCGGGCUAUACUCUCUGCUCAGCAUUGUGUUAAUUUGAUUUCCUGUUUUUGAGACAGAGGCUCACUAAGUUGACAGGCUGCCCUUGAACUUGUGAUCUUAUCUAAGCUUCUCAAGUUUCUUGAGAAAAUAGCAAAAAAUUGGGAACAACCCAUUACAAGCAUGAGCCACCAGGCCUGGCUCACUCAAAAUGUUAACUAUAAUAAAUGAGAUAAAAGACAUACACCUUAUCAUCGCACAUGUAAAUACAGGCUAAUGGCGCUGGAUGGCACACGCAUAACAAGUUUAACACAUCACUGGUUUUAUGUUCGUGACAGUCAGUGACACAGCUAUAGAUUGAGUCAUGAGAAAUGGCUGCCCUGUAAGAGAAGUCACAGCCUUGAUGUGAGAUGGAUUAGCCAGUUCGAAUACUUCUUAGAAAGAUUUUCUGUUUGGGUGUCAUAUACUUCAGAGGCUGAAAAGAACUAGAGGACAUGAAAAGGAUAAAAAAAAAACAAAGUAAUAAAUACUAAUUGGGCUUGGCUCAAGCCACAAAAAUAGUGAAAACAGAAUUCACAGACUAAGAGAAAACAUCUGAUUGAUCCAGAAUAUGUAAAGAGUUCUUACAGCUCAACAACAAGAAAUUAAUCAUUUGAAAAUAGACAAACAAGAGUGAACUCUACAAAGAAGAAACACAAGCAACUGAAAAGUAAACGAGAAAAUAUUUAGAAAGCAUUAGUCAUGAGUGAAAUGCAAAUCAAAACCACUAAGAUGAGCACUAUAUGUAUGUGUAUGUGAACAUGUAUGUGUACGUGUGUGUGUGUGUGUAAUCUGCGAGGAUGAAGAGACACUAGACUCAUGACACAUUGUAAAAUAGCGAAGCUACCUUUUUUCUUCCAGAUUUCACUUCCUGAAAAUCCAUAAUACAUGGUAUUAAAUAAGAAAAGAUGUAUAAAUCAGAAGACUGAAACAAAACCUAAAAAGCCUACAUUUACAUUGUAUUGAAUCUAGUUUCCUCAUGACCCAGCAGGCCCACUGCUGGGUAAAAGUACAUGAAAGCAUGUAUCCUCACAAAAAUCUUCACAUGAAGGCUCAUGGUACAGAGUUAUUCAAAAUAGAAAAAAAAUGGGAACAACCCAUUCAAAUGACUGGGUAAAAACAAUGUGUUGUAUCUCCUGUAUGGAGUGUUAGUCGGCUGUAAGAGUGUCAUAUUGACACCUGCUACAAACUGAUGUUUAAGAGAAAAAAUAAGAUACAAAUAAACACAUAUUAUUUGACUCCUAUCUGAAAUAUACGCAUAACAGGCAACUCUGAAGAACUAGAAGGCAGAUUAGUGAUUUGCGGGGCCUUCAAGAGAGGAGGCAGAGGAAGAGUGAGCUACAGGGCAGAGUUUCCGUCAGGAAUACUGGAAAUGUUACACUGUGGUGACAGGAGCGUAAAUGAAGAAAUAACCCGUGGACUAUGGAUGUCAGAAUGGUGAAUUUUCUGGCUUGUGGAUUGUGUCUGAAUAGAUCUGAUAUAAAACAGUCACCAGCUGUAGUCUGCUGGUCCCGGUUGGUUCGAGAUUCAGUCAUAGCUGCCUGUUCCUUGCUCAACCCAUCUGCAGAGCGACCUGAGUGGGUUCAAUGCUCUCCAAGAUUGUUCUCAGGACAAAAACAAAACCUCCCUCUUUGAAAAGGUGUGUUUUCACAUGGACCGUGGAGAUCCAGAAGUAAUUGUCAGCAGCCGGAGGAUUCACGUCAACACGUCUGCUGGGACAAGAGCACGACUGAAUUUUACAAAAGUGUAAUAGAGCCCCAGACCUUAGCACAACUGACGUCAUGAUGGGCGUACCAUUCAGACCAUAAAACUCAACGUGUAGACAGUACCACCUGCCAAAAACAAGCGUGCAGACCUACUCCAUCAGAGCCCGUAGGUCCGGGGAAGUCUCUAGGUGGACUGACCCUGCUCUUCAGCUUCUGUGGCUAUGCUUCUGGCUAACUGUUCUUGCUAACUGAAGUAUGUCAACUCAGGAUGGCGUUUUGGUGCCUAAAGGCACACCAUGAGAAAGGGACUACGCUAUGAUAAGAACCUCUGAACAUGAAUCUUCACUUUAGAAUCACUGCCCCCAAGAACAGCCAGACCUCUGUCAGAUUCAAAGAUCUACUGAAAGAUUGAAAAAAAAAA
Long non-coding RNA from Mus musculus (house mouse), 26661 nucleotides. RefSeq annotates it as predicted gene, 52013. Lineage: Eukaryota; Metazoa; Chordata; Mammalia; Rodentia; Muridae. The transcript is spliced from 4 exons. The record is from RefSeq and is a predicted model, not a curated record.